UACGUAGGGUGCGAGCGUUAAUCGGAAUUACUGGGCGUAAAGCGUGCGCAGGCGGUUCGUUAAGACAGAUGUGAAAUCCCCGGGCUUAACCUGGGAACUGCAUUUGUGACUGGCGAGCUAGAGUAUGGCAGAGGGGGGUAGAAUUCCACGUGUAGCAGUGAAAUGCGUAGAGAUGUGGAGGAAUACCGAUGGCGAAGGCAGCCCCCUGGGCCAAUUCUGACGCUCAUGCACGAAAGCGUGGGGAGCAAACAGG
This 253-nucleotide ribosomal RNA is filed under the name uncultured bacterium. RNAcentral's name for it is "partial 16S ribosomal RNA". It matches the Rfam family "Bacterial small subunit ribosomal RNA", at positions 524 to 776 of the family's 1533-position model. The record is from RNAcentral.